GAACAGAGAGUUACCACAGCCAGCCCUGCCCAGUGGGGCAUUACUGUCCAGCCAAGACUCACAGCCCCAGGCCCUGCCCCUCAGGAACCUUUGGAAACAGCAGCCAGGCAGGGGCAGUUGGAGAGUGCCUGCCAUGCCCCGCAGGCACCUUCAGUGCCCAUCCUGGCCAGGCCGGCUGCCUCCCCUGUGGGAGCUCUUCUUUCUCUCCACCUGGUGCCUCCCACUGCACGUGUCGGGGCCUUAACAGGGUCUUCCAGAAGUCAGAUGGUUCCUGCAUCUGCCAGGCAGGACAUGAGUCCUACAGCAGGAGGGGCCUGGAAAGUGAGGAGAACGACAGCGAUGAGGACUGUCAGCCCCAGGUAACACCUCACUCAGCCUUAGGAAAGGAAGGCUUGAGGAGAGUGAGGAGAGGUAGCAUUUAUGGGUCCCUCUGCAUGCCAGCUGCUUUUCAUUGUCUGUUGGGUUAAUGUGUAGUCCUUUGUGGUGGAUGGAUUACCUCCUAUACAAAUGAGAACACUUUAGAAAGCUCUCAUGAUAAGACAUAUUUCUCCUUAUCAUAGACCCACAAAUUUCAGCAUUCAUUAUAAAGGAUCUUAGGAGAGUAAUUUGAUCACUCCACCCAGUCUCCCUAGAGUUGGACCUCCCAGUUACCUCUUCCAAGCAGCAAACUUGUCUUCUAUUACUAUUGUAGGUUCCCUCUACCUCAAGCCUAACCUUAAUCUUAGGGUGCUAACUAAAUGACCUCUCAGGGAGCCUGGUUCCCCAGAGGCCCCAUCAUGUCCCUGGAAUGUUCUCUGAUGCUGAGAGUGCCCUCAUCCUGGGCCUGCAGGGGGUUCCAGAGCCAGGACUCUUCUCCCACAUCCUCCUUCAGGUCGCUGAGCGCUGCUCAGCUGGAGAAGUACGUCUGGCUGCCACCCGCAAGUGUGUGUCCCCCCAGCUGCACAACUGCUCCUCUUUCUGCCACCCAGUGGAUGGGAAGCUCAGCACUGAACUGGGAAUCUGCCAGUGCCAGGAAUAUGUAUCAGCAGAAGAGCUCUGUGAUGCCCAGUGUCUGGCUAAGGCCCCCCAACUCUCCCUGGCCUGGGGUUCCAGCAGGGAGCUGAUCCUCAGCGUGAAGGGCGAGGCUGGAGACCAUGACCAGAGGGUGAGCCCACCUCGGGGAAGGGCUGGGAUAGAAGGGCAGCCUCUGCCUGCUGGGGACAAGGGGGAAAAAAUCUCCCAGGCACCCUGGCUGCAGAAACCAGGCAGCAGAAGAGGGAGCACCACCUCGAUGGCUCAGUCGGUUAAGCAUCUGACUGUUGAUUUCAGCUCAGGUCAUGAUCUCAUAGCUCAUGAGAUUGACCCCCACAUCAGGCUCUGCAUUGACAGUGCAGAGCCUGCUGGGGAGUCUCUCUCUUCCUCUCUCUCUCUCUCUCUCUCUCUUUCUCAAAAUAAAUAA
Molecule: long non-coding RNA, 1438 nt
Filed under: Felis catus (domestic cat)
Lineage: Eukaryota; Metazoa; Chordata; Mammalia; Carnivora; Felidae
Description: lncRNA (ENSFCAG00000050536.1)
Source: RNAcentral